This 118-nucleotide ribosomal RNA is filed under the name uncultured bacterium. RNAcentral describes it as "partial 16S ribosomal RNA". It matches the Rfam family "Bacterial small subunit ribosomal RNA", at positions 237 to 354 of the family's 1533-position model. The record is from RNAcentral.
UCGAUUAGCUAGUUGGCAGGGUAACGGCCUACCAAGGCGACGAUCAGUAGCCGGCCUGAGAGGGUGUACGGCCACAUUGGGACUGAGACACGGCCCAAACUCCUACGGGAGGCAGCAG